RNAcentral lists this long non-coding RNA (382 nucleotides) under Mustela putorius furo (domestic ferret). RNAcentral's name for it is "lncRNA (ENSMPUG00000031031.1)". Lineage: Eukaryota; Metazoa; Chordata; Mammalia; Carnivora; Mustelidae. The record is from RNAcentral.
GAGCGGCCCUUGAAUAAACUUGCCACCCUGGUGAGGAAGCUGCAGAGAGCACGGAAUGGGCUGCCAAAGAAGGGGAAUGAGAUCAACUACUCCAAAAAGAAUAAGGAAAAGGGAAUCCUCCCCAUCCCUGGAUGAGAUUUGCACAAUGCUCACACUCAAAGAAGGCACAACGGAGAAUUUUGUACACUCCCUGGUACUAUCCUUCCCAGACAGAAGCAUCUUGAGCAUCGCCAUUUUCCACAUCUACCAGUGGUUCAACCUCAUUCCAGCAUGUCCUGGGCCAGCAGUUAAAUACUCCAGCUCUCCAAAUAGACACCGAGCCCACUCCAGCCCCAGAGGCUUCCUGCCACCCCAAGAACCAGCUGAUGGAGGAGGAGCCUGA